RNAcentral lists this small RNA (82 nucleotides) under Flavobacterium sp. 9R. RNAcentral's name for it is "Flavo-1". It matches the Rfam family "Flavo-1 RNA". The record is from RNAcentral. Lineage: Bacteria; Pseudomonadati; Bacteroidota; Flavobacteriia; Flavobacteriales; Flavobacteriaceae.
CUAUAGAUGCGUAAGGGAUGGAAGCGGCAUCCUCUUGGGGCGGGGUUCGACCCAAGAGAUAUAGUGUACAGCCCGACAGCGC